AGCUUCUUCACCACUGACUGCUUUCACUUCACCAUCAAAGGACACGAAGAGCUGGCUAAGGGCUUGUGGAACAACAUGUUCCAGCCAGAAGGAGGGAAAUCUAUGAUUCAGAGCUUUUCAGAGCCAGUUGAGCUCAUUUGUCCUUCAGAGAGCCAUCCUUACAUCUAUACCAGACCCCCAGCUGUUACAGUCCCAGCCACCAGCACCACCACCGAAUCUCUGGAUUCAGCUGCCAGCACCCUGUCACAGCUCUUCCUGCCUGUCCUAGCCUUGGCCUAUCUCUUCUGAUGGAGCAGUGCUACUGCAUGGACGGCCCACAGUUCAUAGUAGUAUCUCUGACUGCCUCGCAUAGAUUCUAAACAGUCCU
Molecule: long non-coding RNA, 367 nt
Organism: Scleropages formosus (Asian bonytongue)
Lineage: Eukaryota; Metazoa; Chordata; Actinopteri; Osteoglossiformes; Osteoglossidae
Exons: 3
Source: RefSeq, a predicted model, not a curated record